UUUGAAGGUUUUAAAUACUUUAUUAUAAAUUUCAAGCAUGACAACAACAUAAAUCAUAAAUCAGCUUAAAAGAUACCGCAUGCAGAAUAAUUUUAUUUCAACACUGCAUGUGACACUUUAUAUCCAUGUCUUUUUUCAGCUUUAGACCCUGCACAUAUAGCUGACCUGAGGGGGUCUGAAAACAGCCACAGGAAAUGUUGAAACUCCAGGUGGUCCACAAGCAAUUAAAUAAAGCAUCACUGUGCUGCUUUUUUUGAGACACACACACACACACACAUACACACACACACAUAUACACUCACUCACACACACACAAAAGAGAAAGAAGCCCUCUAGAAGCAGACUCUGAACUGUUUCUUUCCACACAAAAAAAGCAGCGAGUUUCAUUUGCUGUCAAAACAUUUGUAGUGGAAUUAAACAUAUGGAUGCCACAGGCAAAGUGAGGCCUGGAAUAUAUUAGGGCUGCACAAUGUUACACUAACCCUCCAGUAUCUUACACCGCUCCCAGAGAUUAAUGGAAUAAAGAGGAGAAAAGAGGAGGAGGAGGAGGAGGAGAGAGUGAGUGUGUCUGUCUUGCUCAAGCCAACGCUGCAAAAAUCAAUAUUUCUCCAUGAUACACAGCUCUCAGAGUUGGCUGUAAAUGCAGAUAUCCUGAUCAAAAAGCUAAAUAUUGGCUUCUCUGUGAUGCAAACUGACGCCUGAGUUCAGUAGCCACGUCUGAUUUGAAUUGUAGUAUUUGAUUUGUUUGUGAAUCUCCUUCUAAGGUUUAAAAUUCUCCAAAUAAACACAAAUUGACUUUCACUCCAGGUAGCGUUUUUUUUUAAUUCACAUUCCUGUAAGGUGUAAAUGUCUCGUCUUUCCGCGCCCCUCGCCCCUAGUUGUAACACGUUUGCUCCUAUCAUGUGCUGCGAAAGAAAUUUAAAAAGAAGCCCUGGGAGCGUACAGUAAUUCUGCAUUGAUUUCUCUGUUCUAAUAAAUGAGUGUGUUUCAGCGUAGUAGGGUGAUUGUGUGUGGGGGAGAGAGAGCGAGAGAGAGAAGGAGAGAAAGAGGAAUGUGCAGAUCUGUUCACAAAUGAAUAGUGGGCUUGUUGUAUUAUGCCCUCCGUCAGGAGAGAAUUGAACUAUGCGUCGAGUGUGUCAAAGGGAGCAGAGGAUGAUGGGAGGGGGAACACACAAUAUGAAGUCUCUGCUUUCAGAUCUGAAACUUUUCAAGAGUGGAUUGACUCUUGAGCUGCGAUGCAGUGACCAAAAAUAACGCUGGUUUUAAACAGUUCCCACUUCUCCUCCAGGAGCCGUCCAAAAAAGCCUCAGCAGGAAUUUACAUACUCACCAGGCGGCUGUAGAAAAUGUACAAUUAAAUAUAUUUAAAAGAUUUUUUAUUUUUGCUGUCAAGCAACAUAAAAACUAAAAAUUGAAAAUGUAUUUGCAAUCUUAACUCAAUAUGGUUAAAAAAUAAUUCAUUUUUUGAGGGGGAGGGAGGCUAUAAUAGACUUGAAGGCUGUAAAAAAAAGGGCUUAUAUUUCAAUUUGAGCCUUGAUCUCUAAUUUUAAAAACCAAGUUUAAGUCCAUUGAACAUACACGCAAAUUGGUUACAAUGGUGUGUAUAAUUACUUGAAUUAAUUUUGUUUUUGUGUUAUCCAUAAAACAGAGCUGGAUUAGUGUAAGAGCUGACUCUAAAUACAGUAUUUCUGCUAGUACUACUGGCCCAUAGUCAUUUAUGUUGUACCUUUAGGACCUAACUUCACAUACUUCUGUUUGUAUGUGUAUUGAAGGACGGUCUCUACUUAUUUCAUCUAUUCAUUAUAUGUUAUAAAGUACACCUUAUAUUUUUGGAAUAUUUACAUUACAUAUUGUUUUCAGUUCAUUGAUGCCCUUUGGUGUUUUUUUUAUUUUGCUCAAUAAUUUUGGAGUAGAUAAUUUUUUACGUGGAUAAAUAUGGUUGUUAUUGUAUCUUAUCUUGAACAUGAUGCACCACCAAAAAAAACAAACAAACAAACAAACAAAAAAAACUGCUGGACUCAAGUUGAAAUUUUACAAAAACAAAUAAAUGUCCAAAACCCAAAUUGGCCACACAGAUUACAGUAAUAACACUAAAGAUAUUAAACCUUCCUGACCUGUUUGUCCAAGAUUUUAUAAAAUUUUGCACAUAUACAGAUAUAUAAGUACAGGAAGUUUUUGACUCUCUCUGUGUUAAGAACUUAAAAACUGUUUUUACUGUGAGACUCUAAACUCUGAAUUUCUCCUCAGUGACAUAAAAGCCUUAACUGUAUGCUGUGUAAAUCUUGUAUCAGGCAGUCAUAGUAUAAAUCAGCAGGAUAAAAACUGGCGGUCAGUGUAGCAGCAACACACACUUUGGGUUAUAUCCCCAGCAGCGAUGAAUGUUUCAGUUAUUUUUUAUUUUACUGUGUUUUUUUUCUCUUUUUUUUUAAAGUAAAACGAGCCUUUGUCUUAUAGGUUUUUUAAUUAAUGUGGGUAAAUAUAACCAGUUACAGCAUGAACAAGGAAAGCCCAUUUCAGUAUUUUAAUUAACUAAAAGUCUGGAUGUGGUCAACAUCUUAUGAGUCAUAUCUACAUUAUUUUAGUUCUACUUUACACAAAGUUGUUUAAAUAGCUCCUGAACUCAACUAUUUUAUAAUGAAUCAUGCUACAGUAAGACAAAAUAUACCAUCAUUCAUAUACUUCAUAUGUAUUAUAAUUUUUGGAUGAAUAUUUGCCUUCAUGAAUUUUAUUCAAAUCAUUGACUGCUCAUAUUUCUGUGGUAUUUAAAUCGGUGUGAUAAGGCUUUGAUGGCUCCCUAACUUGUUUGCGGGCCCCCAUGUAACUCUGUCCUCUAAAGCAAACAUUAAUAUGUGAACAUGCCUAAAAGGGCUCAUAAAUAGGUUUAACCUGUUUUUGUUCUCCUGCCCUCAAAGCUGCAGGUAGAGACCCUUCCUCUCCUCUCCUCUCCUCUUUCUCUCCCUCUCCCUGUUUGUAAUUACAGUUUACACUGUUUACUGCUAAACCAUUUUUCUGCAUGUACUAAUUUCACGCUAGACAGCCACAAAAUUAUUCAGCAUUCUCGCAAUAUGUGAAAGACGUGGAUUCGUUUUUAUUUUGCGUUCUGGUAACAAUGUGCUUAUUUAACCCAUGAAGCAGUUUGACCUUAAACACACUCUUUUAGACCCAAA
Non-coding RNA from Xyrichtys novacula (pearly razorfish), 3166 nucleotides. The record is from the annotation of a GenBank genome assembly. NCBI's taxonomy places the organism in Eukaryota, Metazoa, Chordata, Actinopteri, Labriformes, Labridae.